This is a long non-coding RNA of Diorhabda carinulata, 511 nucleotides long. RefSeq lists it as uncharacterized. Lineage: Eukaryota; Metazoa; Arthropoda; Insecta; Coleoptera; Chrysomelidae. The record is from RefSeq and is a predicted model, not a curated record. The transcript is spliced from 2 exons.
GUCAAAUUAGAUGUUAUAGAGUACAUAUUCAUAAUAGGGAAAUAAAAUAAAAAAAUAACUUUAUUUGAAAACAUUUUAUUAAAAAUGGAAUAUCAUCGUGUUUAAACAAUAAUUCUGGAACAUAUCGCCGAUAUAAUACUUAUUGAACGGAACAUACCGAGCCUCGUUGAAACCGCGAAAAGCCGCUCCGUCCGCUAAAACCGAGCACAGUUGAUCGUGGUGCAUACAACCGUGCGGUAGAUGAGCCGGUAAUGGAAAACUUGUCUUAGAUAACCAUUCCAAGACUUUAGCUCUCGGCGUAGCCAAUCUGAAAUUCAAAUCGCCGAACCAAAAAACGUAAUCGAAAUUUUGGGUUAUGUCUGAAAUAGAAAUAACGUUAACGAAACAUUUUUAUCACUUGUAAAUUGUCUUUAUAACGGUUUUAAAUUAAAAAAAAAAAUUGUAAUAGAAAAAAUUAUAUUUAUAUUUGGGAAUUUAACAUUAAAUAAAUUAUUAAAAAUAUUACAUACAA